This is an RNA transcript of Haplochromis burtoni (Burton's mouthbrooder), 4289 nucleotides long. It is a transcript of the gene named rho GTPase-activating protein 12, with no coding region annotated. The transcript has 22 exons. The record is from RefSeq and is a predicted model, not a curated record. NCBI's taxonomy places the organism in Eukaryota, Metazoa, Chordata, Actinopteri, Cichliformes, Cichlidae.
CGGAGCUAAAGAGAGAGAGAGAGAGAGAGAAACCUGUUUGAGUGAUCGGGGCUCGCCCCUCCAAGAUCAGAAGAGAAAAAAGUGAAGUAGGAUGGUUGGAUCUGACUUUUACUGCAGGACGGGGGUGUAGGAUCAGGAGUGAUCUUUGACCAGUUACCUUCAGAUUAGAUCUUCCUGAGGGGGCGGGGCCUGAAAAGCCCAGGGUUGUCAAAAUGGCAGCAACGUCCUCCUUGCAGAGUAAAGGUCUGGGUCUGGUUCUGGUGGAAUUUGGGUACGAGUACGAGGGUCGGGAUGGGGCGCUGGUCACAAUCAAACCCAAUGAGCGCUACAUCCUCCUGGCGAAGACCAACAACCACUGGUGGCAGGUCCAGGAGGAUCGCAGCUCCAAGCCCUUUUACAUUCCGGCCAAGUACGUUAAAGAGCUGCCGUUGGAGUUACCCUCUCCUCUGGACUUUGCUGAUCCUCCCAGUCCCGAACUGGUGCUGCCUGUCGUGACUCCAAUCCCUGUGGCGGUGCCUGUCCCCAUCCCAAAGCCUCUAGAAGAGUCCAGAACCAAACCAAGUGAUGACAUGACCAUCAGACUCACACCCGAUGCGGUCAAAAGGCACCACAAAAAUGAAAAUCGGAUGUCUACAUUUGGCGUCCCGCUCGACUUCCAAGAUGCGGCACCUCGGCUACCUGGGGCCCCUGCUGGUCCUGCAGAGCCCGGGUCAACAGCAAACAACAGAACUGCAAACUCCGCCGAUGGCAAGAAGCCGCCCCACCUGUCAGGCUACGUGGAGGACGCCAGGGACGCCGGGAAACCUCGCGUUCCCAGCUUCAGUCCGGCAGACCCCCUCUCAGUGCCCCGGCCCCAAGCCCAGCCCAUCCGGGUAGAGACACCAGUGAUCCCGCCCCACAGCAGCCUCCACAACAUGUCCUCAUCCCCAGCAGGACGUCCGGAUGGCCACGAGUCUCCAAUAGAGUCAGAUGAGGAGGAGCUGGCAGAGGAAGAAGCAAGCGUGGAGGAGAGCGUGGAGGAGAGCGGUGAGGAGGGGCGGGACUCAGUGAAGGGCGAGGAUUCACACCACAUCUACGAGUCCAUCCAGGACCUGAACCUGGACCUGGAGGCUCUGGUCGGAGCGAGAGCGAGCCCUGCAGCACAGGUCGAGCCUGCAACACCUGAGGCUGCACCAGCCCCACCUCCCACACAGGACCAAAGCUUGCCCGACCCUCUGUCGCCCAUCUACGCCAACGUCCCAUCUCUGAAGAAAUUGGCUCCGCCUCAGGGCCCUUCUGGCUCCUCCCUCUCCUCUCCACCUCCCACAGACCACUCCCUCUCAACAUCAGACCACAGCCCAUCAUCUUCUACCUCCUUGGGCAUGACCAGCCCCAACUGCCCAGUCAGCGCACAGGACAGAUUGCAGGGCCACACUGAGCAGGACAGCGGGAGGCAGCCUGGAACCAACCACAUGAACAACUCUCGCAAUCCUCCACCCGUGCCGGUUAGAGACCUGGACCGGUCCAAGGGAAAAGAAGGGGGUCAGCUGACCUCCAUCUCCCCCGCCUCCUCUCAGGGCUCUGGUGGCUGGGAGAAGGUGUUUGAUGAAGUCUCAGGGAGACCUUACUACUUCAACCGCAGCACACGAACCACAUCCUGGAAUUUACCUGAGCCAUCCUCCCCGUCACCCCCACCUGGAUCUGCAACCCACAGGAAGCACGAGGGCGGCCCGCCUCCCCUGCCAGAGGAAGACUAUCCUGUAGGCGACCAUAAAGACAACAACGCCAACUUUAGAACGCAUCCUCAGCAGAGCUUGGGCCUGAUACCCAGAGCUCACCUGGACCUGAAGGAUCCUCAGAUUCCCUCAGUGCCCCAAAGUCUGAUGGGAAAUGGAGUUUGUGAGGACGGAGCAUCGCUGCAGGCCAGGAAGCUGAGAGUCAGCAUGGGAGAAGACACGUGUUCCCAUGGCCACCGGAGGAACUUCUCCGAUCACACUGACAUGAUAAGCAGACACGCCUCCCCCGACAGUCCACAGCUCUCUAAUAGGUGCAGACUGAAGAGGAAUCUGUCCAAUCAGAGCACAGGGUCCAGCUCACAGCAUGGACACCUGCUGGAGAAAGCAGGGAUUCUCAACAAGACUAAAGUGGCUGAAAAUGGAAAAAAGAUCAGGAAGAACUGGAGCCAGUCGUGGACCGUCCUGCAUGGAGGGAUCCUCACAUUCCAUAAAGACCCCCGACCAGCCGGGAAUGCUAGCAAAGCGUCACAGAUUGUUCCAGAAUACACCGUUGAACUCAGAGGAGCUUCGGUGAGCUGGGCCUGCAAAGACAAGUCAUCCAAGAAGAACGUUCUGGAGCUGAAGACACGUCAGGGCUGCGAGUAUCUGAUGCAGUACGACAAGGAGAGCAUCAUCAGCGACUGGCUAAAAGUGAUCCAGGACACCAUCGGACAGCUGGUGCCAGACGGAGCACACAGACCGGACCAGGAGCACCUAUCAGACAGUGAAGACGAUGGUUCUUCAGACAAAGAGGACAAAGACAGGAGAUCGAUAUCGAGCAGGAUCCCAUCAGGAGCUGACACGGAGCAGACGCGAGUUCGGUCCAAACUGCGACGCUUCCUGCAGCGAAGGCCGACUCUGCAGAGCGUCAAAGAGCGAGGAUACAUCAGAGACAACGUCUUUGGCUGCCACCUGGACACUCUGUGCCACCGAGAACACAGCACCAUCCCCAAGUUUGUGGAGAAGUGCAUCAGGACAGUGGAGCGCAGAGGUCUGGACGUGGACGGGAUCUACAGAGUGAGCGGAAACCUAGCCGUGAUCCAGAAACUACGACACAAAGCCGACCACGAGGAGCACUUGGACCUGGAGGACGGACAGUGGGAGGAGAUUCACGUGAUCACCGGCGCUCUCAAGCUUUUCCUGCGGGAGCUUCCAGAGCCGCUGUUUCCCUUCAGCGUCUUCGAAAAGUUCAUCGCCGCCAUCCACUCAUUGGAACGGCGCAUACAUUUGCACACACACAGUUCCUCAGUGAAGCAGGAAAACCUGGGACAUUACUUGCAGAUCUCCAUCUCUACAUGCAUCCUGACAAUCCUGCAGUUUUUACAUUACGAUUUUACUCUAACGACACCACAAGCGUAGCCGGACGUACAGCAGGCUGGAAAAAGGGCCACUUUAACAUCAUCUGAACACAAGUCAAAGUUAAGAACCGACACAACUUACAGCACUGCGCAUCACAUCAUCAUCAUCAUCAUCGCCAAGAUCACUUUUCUAGAUAUGACCCAAGGAUCUCACCACUCCAGGUCUGCUAAAUAAAAAGAUCCUUUGUAGUUAAAGCAAUCACAAUAACUCUUUUUAGGGUUAAACAAAAUAUCACACUGGGCUCCAUAACAGCACAAACUCUAAGUAAUGAUUAAGAACAUCACCCACACAGUCAUUUAACAUGACAUCAGGACACAAACUGAAGAGAACUGGAUGUUCUGACUCCAGUUAGUAAACUUUUCUUACUCUUACAGCUCGUUGUGCUGAAGCUCAUAUUCCUUUGAAUGAAGCAGACAGCAUUCUUAAGUUAUCAUUAACAAUUUUCUCAUGUUCACUUACGUUUUUGUGCAAACUCUUGGCUUUCCAGCACUAAUAAUAUUAGCCUGCAUUAAAUAUUUGUAAACUCGAACAGCUGAACACAUCUGGAGAUUUAAUACAUCACUGCUUAAACAUGAAGACUUUAUUAAAUAUUUUUAAAAAGAGUGGACUCUAUAUUUAGACUAUAAUGACACUCCCGGAACAUCAGCUCGUGUGGGACUAAUAAAGGUUAUCUUAUCUUAUCUUAUGAUGUGUUACUUUUUCUCCAAAACUCACAAUCCAAUCUCUCUGGGGUCAUUGCAUUGAUAAACUCUUUUGCAAGAAUAUCAGAUUACUCAAUUUACUGGUCAAAAUCUACAGUCCUUCCGAUGAAUUGCUCCUUCCAUAAUUCUUCUGCACGACUACAUCUGAUAAGUUGUAAAUGUGCAGAGGUUGACCGAGCAGUCGACUCUUCCAGUCAGGUCUCCUGGUGUCACGGUGACCACAGAGAAACACAAAGUAACGAGAUCGCAAUAAUCCCAGCACACGUUUGUGAUGAGCGAUACACCAAAAGUGCCGUCAUGCCUCUAAACUGUCGUAGUACAGAACCUUAGCUGUGUGUGUGUUUGCAGAAGUCCCAGACUACAACCUGAGGGUGUCCUACAUGAAGGAUCUGGUGCAGACUCUUCCUCUACCGAACCACAACACCAUGGAGCUGCUGUUCAGACACCUGCGAAAGGUGAUCGAACACAAGGACUC